Manis javanica (Malayan pangolin) is the source of this 6086-nucleotide non-coding RNA. Lineage: Eukaryota; Metazoa; Chordata; Mammalia; Pholidota; Manidae. The record is from RefSeq and is a predicted model, not a curated record.
GCAGGAGCUCAGGGACCUGUGGAAAAACAACAAAAGAUCCAAUAUUUGUGUGACUGGAGUCCAGCAGCAGAGGAGGACAGUGGGGAUGGAAGGAAAGUCAAAGAAAUAAUGCCCCAAAACUCCCUAAAUUUGGCAAAGGACACAAACUUUGGAUUCAAGAAAUUAAGUAAAAACCAAAAGUGAUAAACAACAAGAAAAAUCCACACAUUGUGAUUAAGCUUCUGAAAGUUAUACACAAAAACAGAUCUUAAAAGCAGCUUGAGAGAAAAAACAAAUUAUGUAGAGGGGAGAGCAAUUUGAGUGACAGCAGACUUUUCAUCUGAAACCAAAGAGGCCAAAAAGAAGCGACACCAGAUUUCCCAACUACAUAGAAAGAGAAGAACUGUCAGCUGCAAAUUCUACAUGCAGCAAAAUAUCCUUCAGGAAUGAAGAGAACAUAAGACAUUUGCAGAUGAAGAUGACAUUUUGCACAUGUCUGUCUAUGGAGCAGCUCUGUCUAUGGAGCAGCCCCUCUUUCCCCUGCUGAUCACACCCACUUUUCUUGCCCCACAAUUCUAAUCAUGUGCAGGUAUGUUCUGCACCUUCAUCUCCUUAUUGAUCAAUUUAUCUCUGUCCCAGUUCAUGCUGGCUUAAUUCUCUGGCCUCGUGGCAAGUCCUCCUAUCUUAGAGUGGUAUCCUGGCUAUUCCAGACCCUUCACUGCAAGAAUUUUUAAAUCAGUUUAUCAAGUUUCAUGGAAAAAUAUCUGACGGUAGUUUGACUGCAACGGUAUUAAAUACGUAAAGGAAGUUGGGAAGAUUCAACAUCUUGACGUUAUUUUCUUCCCAUGCAGUAACAUGGAAUUUCUCUGCUUUUUAGUUGUCUCUUAAUAAAUUUUUAAGUUUUCAUGUUAACAAAAAGAAAAAAUGUCAUUUCACACAGUCUGCAAGAAGCUUAUUACUCCAACUUUCCUUUACUUUCCACCCUAUUUCUGACUUGAUUUUCCCCAGGAAAGUGUACAUUUGCCACAAAGGGGACCAAGACCUUGCUAAUGACAGAAAGUUAGCAGGCGGCAGAGCCAUGGGGACAGCUGUGUGCCCUCUGCAGAGCCCGCUGAGUACCAGGGGUGUCUGGCUGUGUGAACCAUGGUCUUCCCAUUCCAGCAGGGAUGGCAGGGAACCCCAAGACUCACAUCUUUCAGGACCAAAUCUUGCUGUUGGGUGACCUUUUCUUUCUCAUUCUCUCAUUGCUGUUAAGGGGCUCCAUUCUAGAAGCUUCUCUAUCUGCACUGGUCAUCACCCAGCAAUGAGAGCUGUCAUUCCUGGGUCCUCUGCCCAGCUGUCCUCACCCUGUUCUAACCCUGAUCUCUCUCACUCUGAGUUUAUAAAAUCCCACAUCACUUUCAUUUGCCUAGUCUACCUGGUACCCACCCACCUUUUCCUCUGACCCUCCGCCUGCUCUCCCUGAGGCUAGUUACCUAUGAAAUGUGAGACACAGUGCCAUUCAGGCCAGAAGUCACCUUGUUAUUUGGUGGCAGAACUGGAAGCUGAGCCAGUUCUUUGGUUUCUCAAUCCAGUGUUUGUUAACUUAUAUCCCAGCAAGAAGAAGGUGGGACUGAGUGGUCUGAAAAGGGGCGUCCUGGACCUCCAGCCCUGACUGCAAACUGAGACUCAGGUGCCUCUGCAUCACGGCAGGACUCCUGGAGUGCAGGCUGCCUCAGGUGGGCUUUUGGCACAGUGGGCAGGGAGAAAUUCCCAACAGACAAGGGACGCAGAGCCAGUCCCAGAUGGGCCAUCUGAUGGCUGCAGGACCAAGUUUCACAAGCCACUUAACGUCCUUCAGCCCCGCCACCACCAAGACUGCCUCCCCACCACCCUGACCAGAUUCAAACUCGGCUGGGUGGCUUUAUGCUGUAAGAUGUGAUUUACUGGUUUUUUAGAGUAUGGGAAGAAGCGGAACAGGAGCCCAGGACAAGGACAGGGACUAAAGGGCAGGAGAGGGAAAAGCCAGGCCUGCUGUGGAUAAACAGUCCUUAAUACAUAAACUGCUUCCUAGAACUUCCACGAUCACCCAGCCCAAGCUCCACCCAUGGCCAACUUCCAUCCUGCUUCCAGAGCAAUGAUGCCCAUGCUGCAGGCUUUUAAAACACAGAUGUCUCAAAAAUGUUUCAAAAUCCUGGUUAUAUCAUACACACCAAAUUUCUUUAUAAAGGGAACAAUGGAAAUCAGAAUAGCUGUGUUUUGCUGAGCGCCUGCUGUCUGCCGGACACUGUGCUAACCACAGUAGGCAUUACCUGACCUAAUCCUCAUAAAAAGGGUUUCCUUGUGCAAAUGUAUCCCUAUCUCCCAGAUGAAAAAACAGAUUCUGACUGAUGAAGUUAAGAAACAUGUUCAAAGAAGGCCACCUCAUCUCUGACCUGAAAAGCCAUGUGCUUUUCACAAGACACCCCUGCCUCCCAUCAGGGAGAUCCAAGCAAAGUUUGUGCUUCAGUGUAAUAACCACCCUGCCCUCAAGGAGCUAGCUGCCUCCUUCCCCUCAAUACAACAUAAGGCUGUCUAGUCUCAGAGGGGACAAGGAACCUGCUGUUCAGCUGUCCACAUGUUGGGGAGGCACAGGUGCCCACAGCUGGGGACCACCACUCAGGGAUCCCAACCAGCCAGUGGAGGGAGACAAUCGCUCUCUCCUGGUAUAAGUGGAUCAAAACACUCUAGUCUCACUAUUGGAGUUUGAAAAAUAUUAUCAUCCUAACCAGACAAUUUCUAAUAUAUCAAUAGACAUAGGGAGUUCGUGGGAAAUUACUGUUGUGUAUAAACUGCAUGAAAAGGACAGGAACAGUGGAGCAGAAGCUAUCUUCCGUUCAGUGGCAGAGAACCCCGCACCCUGCAGAGGGGGAAAGCACGCGAGACCCUCAGGCUGGAAGGGGCUGGGUGAACAGACGGAGGGGCUUGUCCUUCCGGUGAUGGCACAGGCUUUCCGCUACAAAGCGUUUGGAUCUUCCUCUUCCAGAUCUUCCCGGCUAAAGCACCGUGUUAGCCCAGAGUAAGCAGAAAGCCGACACCAGCAGAUCCGCUGGCACGCACGCCCAGGCGGACAUGCACCCUCGGAGCCAGACCCACUCCGCCGCUCACCCCGGAGAUACCGGCUGGGGGUCCCAGACACUCAUCUGUCCCAAGCUCGGGCGACGAGCCGUGAGCAGGUUACCGCAGGACCGCGCGUCCUGUCUCAAGCCACGGGCUUGUUCAGGAAGGCUCCGUGCUCCCGCAGUAGGCAAGGCGCCCCCUUAGGGACCCUGACCUUCCUCCUCCCACUUGCUUUUAGCAUUUAGUUAAAAACAAAACAGAAAAAUCCAACCACUGCCUGUCCUAGGAGGCCGCGCGGGAGCCCCGGGGGCCGCCGGUGGGUGCAGACCACACAGCCCCGGGACGGGGCGGGCACUCUCGGCUUGAGCGGAAGAAUGUGCUGCGCUGGGAGGCAGCGGCCCCGGAGCCGCACGGCUGGGAGGCCGGCUUCGCCCGCCCGCCGCUGCAGGGAGGCUCGGCGAAGACAAAGCCGGGCCCUCUGCCGGGAGGAGGGGCCCUCCCGCGGGGCUGCGGCGUUCCGUCCCGGGCCGUAGGGUCUGAGGGCCGUCGCCAAGUGACGGGGACGCGGGCCAGCAUCACCCAAGGGAGAAGAAGCGCGCAUGAAUGGGCCCAGUGACCCCUGGGAGAAGACCCCCAGAGAGGUGGAGGCCUGCUCUUCCUGGGCCUGCCCCAAAGCAGACCCCAGUUCCGUGGUCCCCAUCCCAGGCUCACAGCAGAGAAGCCUCCAAGCACCACAGGGCUCCCUGGUCAGCUCUCUACUCCCAUGCACAAACCCGCUUCCCUCCCCCACCCCACACAGGGGCUCCCCUCCAAUCUGGUCCCGGUCCCCCACACUGGCCCCAAGAGCCUUCCCUCCAUCCCUGCCCAAGUCAACAGGGACUUCCUCCUGCUCCAUCCCUGCAGGUUUUCUUCCUGACCACAGUGGACACCAGUGUGUGCCCAGAUUCCAUUUGCAGAGUCUCUUUCCAACUCAGCCUACUCCACCUGGCUGGCAGCCUACUCCUCCAACAGGCGCUGGCAGGUCUCAAAACACUGCCUCUUUCUUCUCUCUUCUCUACUGAUGGCUGUCCCUCUAGGAGGCCAACCCCUCCCCAACCCCCAUGCCAACUGAUGAAGAACUACACACUCUUGAAAACCCACUUCAAAUGAUCCUGCAUUUUUACAGGACCUGGCACACUACCCCUGAGUCAGGUGGAGGUAUGUGCUCCAUGCCCUGUGGCCUGAAGUCUGACUGUAACAAGUCCAUGCAGCAGAGGACAGGGGCUCUGUGGUUGCAGCCUCAGAGACUGAAGCUCUCAAGGGCAGAUGUGCAUGAAGCUGACACCCACCACACACAGCACAGAGUGGGCACUCCUCCCUUCUGCUACCUCACAGGUCACCAGAUCCUAUGGUUGAUGCCAUCUCCCCUGAAGUCUGCCCUGAAGAGAAGGUCCUGUGUCCCUCCUGUGAUGCUCCUUUCUUCCUCUUAGCGCAGACGGCUUUCAGCGCACCACAGUGGGGCCAGGAGCACACACAUGCAGGCUUCCAGAAAUGCUGCCAGCUACACCGAACUGAGCUGCCCCCUGCCCAGCACCAGCAGGACCCUCUGACCUGCUCAUCAACCUGGUGAAAGCUCAAAGUUACAUGCCCCUAGCUCACCAGGGGAGACAGGCAUGCCCAGAACCCUUGGGCCACUGCUUCACGUUAGGGGCCAGGAAGCUCUCCAGGCCCCUCUGCGCAGAGGUCUGAGAAGGCACUUCUUCCUGGUUGUUUAUGUGCUUGAAGGGUAGCAGCUCCUGCAAAGCAUCUGUCAGAAAUGCCUGACCGUGGCUCAGAGCAGGCCCAGCCAGUGGCAAAUGGAUGGGCCUUUCCACAGCCCAUCACUCCCUGAGCAGAGAGGAAGGCGACGGCCACACUGCUAGGCCCAGGAAGGGCUCAGCACAGGUCCUCCCUUGGUGCCCAUUGGACGCCAUGGUCCUGAUGGGUCUGGGGUAGCCCCUGCUUUCGGAAACUCUGCCUCUGUGUUGCUAUGUCCAACUGUUCCCUGACCAGGGCAACAGUGGGUGGGACCCUGUGCAUGCCAGUGAGCCUUCUGGAGACCAUCUGCUUGCCUCUCCCUCUCUGCUGGGCCAGAGCAACAGGAGCUGAGCUGAGGCCAUGAAUUUCAAGGAUGCGCUCCAAGCAGCAGCAAUUCUGCUGAUAAAAAGUUAGAAACUUGUCCCUUGAAACUGCUAUGACCUUUAGCAGCUUGGAUCUGGGUCACCAGGGUACCUGCCGGCUGACACCUCACAGGGCGCCUGGAAGGUCAUCCACAUCAGCUUAGUGGAGUCAGGGUCACAAGCAGACAAUGUGGGCAACACGGACCUUCCCUGGCAGGCGCCGGCGGCCCUUUGCCUCCCUCCCCUCCUUCAGCUGGAACCAAGCCCUUCCCUCAGUAAAAGGCUUCUCUCUCCUGCUCAUUCACUUACUAACUUAUUAGAAAAAAUGAAUAUUUAUCCAGAACCUUCUCUAUGCCAGAUGCCUACAGCUUCACGAUGACCAAAACGAAGAGUUCCAGGGCUAAGAGAGGGAGACUGACCAUAGACCCGAUCCAGCCCCUGACCUCUACAGGCCCAUCUCGCCCCCGAGAACAUAUUCAAGUGCAGGUGUCUGCAGGACAUCUCUUCUUAGGAUCUUGGACUUGACAUAGCAGAGAGUGUCAGACGUCUUAUAUGGAGGCUGCCUCAGGGAAAGGGGGUGACUCCUGAAAACUGGUGAUGGGUCAGCGCCACAGGAAGGAGGCCACCAGUGACCCCGAAUGUGUCUUCAGCAAGGACUGUGAUCCUCCACUCACUCCCAUGGGCUUUUCUGUGUGCAUUUUGGAAAUAGACAUGUAAGUCAAGAGGAAAAUGGGUGUAUAACUAGAGCUGUCAAUCAAAUUACCUCACCCUGUCAAAGAAAUGCCUCCUGGCUAGGCUGUGAUAAAUAGGCCCUCUCUAAAAAUUCAGGGCCUUUGUCUACCCUGACUCCGGCUCACUCCUCCCUUGGAGGGUAUUCAAAUAAAACUUUCG